GACGAACGCUGGCGGCGUGCUUAACACAUGCAAGUCGAACGGAAAGGCCCUGCUUUUGUGGGGUGCUCGAGUGGCGAACGGGUGAGUAACACGUGAGUAACCUGCCCUUGACUUUGGGAUAACUUCAGGAAACUGGGGCUAAUACCGGAUAGGAGCUCCUGCUGCAUGGUGGGGGUUGGAAAGUUUCGGCGGUUGGGGUUGGACUCGCGGCUUAUCAGCUUGCUGGUGGGGUAGUGGCUUACCAAGGCUUUGACGGGUAGCCGGCCUGAGAGGGUGACCGGCCACAUUGGGACUGAGAUACGGCCCAGACUCCUACGGGAGGCAGCAGUGGGGAAUAUUGCACAGUGGGCGGAAGCCUGAUGCAGCAACGCCGCGUGCGGGAGGACGGCCUUCGGGUUGUAAACCGCUUUCGCCUGUGACGAAGCGGGAGUGACGGUAAUGGGUAAAGAAGCACCGGCUAACUACGUG
RNAcentral lists this ribosomal RNA (468 nucleotides) under uncultured bacterium. Its description in RNAcentral is "partial 16S ribosomal RNA". It matches the Rfam family "Bacterial small subunit ribosomal RNA", at positions 28 to 507 of the family's 1533-position model. The record is from RNAcentral.